CCUACGGGCGGCAGCAGUGAGGAAUAUUGGUCAAUGGACGAGAGUCUGAACCAGCCAAGUAGCGUGAAGGAUGACUGCCCUAUGGGUUGUAAACUUCUUUUAUAAAGGAAUAAAACGAGGCACGUGUGCCUUUUUGCAUGUACUUUAUGAAUAAGGAUCGGCUAACUCCGUGCCAGCAGCCGCGGUAAUACGGAGGAUCCGAGCGUUAUCCGGAUUUAUUUGGUUUAAAGGGAGCGUAGAUGGGUUGUUAAGUCAGUUGUGAAAGUUUGCGGCUCAACCGUAAAAUUGCAAUUGAUACUGGCAGUCUUGAGUGCAGUAGAGGUAGGCGGAAUUCGUGGUGUAGCGGUGAAAUGCUUAGAUAUCACGAAGAACCCCGAUUGCGAAGGCAGCUUACUAAACUGUGACUGACAUUGAUGCUCGAAAGUGUGGGUAUCAAACAGGAUUAGAUACCCGGGUAGUC
This 460-nucleotide ribosomal RNA is filed under the name uncultured bacterium. Its description in RNAcentral is "partial 16S ribosomal RNA". It matches the Rfam family "Bacterial small subunit ribosomal RNA", at positions 338 to 795 of the family's 1533-position model. The record is from RNAcentral.